RNAcentral lists this ribosomal RNA (497 nucleotides) under uncultured bacterium. RNAcentral's name for it is "partial 16S ribosomal RNA". It matches the Rfam family "Bacterial small subunit ribosomal RNA", at positions 28 to 507 of the family's 1533-position model. The record is from RNAcentral.
GAUGAACGCUGGCGGCGUGCCUAAUACAUGCAAGUCGAGCGAACAGACGCGGAGCUUGCGCCUCUGAUGUUAGCGGCGGACGUGUGAGUAACACGUGGAUAAUCUCCCUAUCAUACUGGGAUAACUUCGGGAAACCGGAGCUAAUACCGGAUAACCUCCUGAACCGCAUGGUUCAACAGUGAAAGACGGUCUUGCUGUCACUUAUCGAUGGAUCCGCGCCGCAUUAGCUAGUUGGUAAGGUAACGGCUUACCAAGGGAACGAUGCGUAGCCGACCUGAGAGAGUGGUAGCAGACAUGAGAAGUGAGACGGGGACAAGACGCCUAAGAGACGCAGCAGAAGGCAAUGGUAGGCAGUGGGGGAAAGAAUGACGGAGUAACGGCAAGUGAGAGAAGAAGAUCUUGGGAGCGUGAAACUCGGUUAUGAGGGAAGAACAAAUGUGGAAGGAAAUAUACACGGAUUGACGGUAACUGAUCAGGAAGCAACGGCUAACUACGUG